RNAcentral lists this long non-coding RNA (9500 nucleotides) under Equus asinus (donkey). Its description in RNAcentral is "lncRNA (ENSEASG00005024794.1)". Lineage: Eukaryota; Metazoa; Chordata; Mammalia; Perissodactyla; Equidae. The record is from RNAcentral.
CCUGCAUCCCUCCUCCACUCCCAGCCCCUCACACUCCAGGAACAAGGAGCAGAGGCGCCAUUUCCACCAGCGAAGCAUCUGUCCCCUUGCUCUCUGCCCCAUCCUGGGCGGCAGAGCCCAGGCCUGCAUCUCCUCAGGGCCCAGCUUGCUCCUCCCUGGCCCUCAAAGCUCCUCCUCUCCAUCCAGUCCCAACUGGAGCACAGACACCUGACAGCUCUUCUCCACCUUACAAACAAAACUCUCCCUCGGACCCAGGCUCCCUUUUGGCUACUGUCCACUUUCCUGACUCCCCUUCAUGGCCAAACCUCUUAAGCAAAGUGCCUUGCCCCUAUUGCCCUCCACUGCCCUCCUUCACCCACUCCAGACCCAGCUCCAUUCUCACCACUCCAAGAAGACUGCAGUCACCAGUGAUCUCAUGUGGCCGAGUCCAGCCAUCUCUUCUCCAUUCUGCCCAGAGCUGUUACCUGACCCAGCUGAGAACCCCUUCUUUCUGCCAUACCCCUUUCCCCUCCUGGCUCCCAGGACUCCACGCUCUAUCAUUUCAGUCUCCUUUCCUGGACCGUCUUCAGCUGCACCUCUACAAACACUGCCUGCUCCUAGGCUGGGCCUGGGCUCUUCUACAGCUACACAGUUUCUCCAGGAAACCUCACUCAAUUCCACGGUUUUAAACACCUCUGAUCUCACUCGGACACUGCAAACACACAGAUGCAGCUUUAAGAGGCAGGUACCAGCUCCCCAGCAUCAGCAUCUAAGGAGUAUCUCAAACUCGAUUCCUCUCAAAAUUUUACAGUUGUAUGAGUUCCAAAGAAAGUAUUACGUAUUUCCAAAAAGGAGGAGAAAUCUGGAUACAAUAAAUAGCAGUGAAUAAAGGAACCCAUAAACUGUAUACUUAUAUCCAAUCACAGUUGCUUGAUGGGGAAAAUAACAUUAUAGAACUAAGAACAGUCUUGAGCUGGGGAGUGGAAGGUGAGGAGCUGGGAGUGUAGGAAACAGGAACUGAUUAACUCUAAGCAUUUACAGAAAGAAAGGCGGAAACGGUUGUUCUUAAAAGCUGAAAGAUAUUCACAAGAAGAAUAGAAACAGAAACAAUGCGAAAGCCUAUAAAAUUAAAAAUUAAAUAAAAUGGCAGGCCCAAAUUUCAACUUAUCAAUAAUCACAAUCGUAAAUGGGUUAAAUCACUCUAUUAAAAGAUGAAGGCUCUCAGACUGAGUUAAAAUAUACCUAUUAAAUAAAGGGAUACGAAAAGAUUGAAAAUAAGGACAUAAAGAUGACUUCUAAAGGGACAAAAAGGGGUUUUCUGUGUUGAUAACAGUCAGGAACACUUAUGCACCUAACAACAUGGUCUUGAAACAUAAAGCAAAACUGGACAGACAAGAAGGCACAGGCAGCUCCAGAAUCACAGGGAGACUGACCUUCCCUCUUCUAGAAAUCCAGUCAGGUGAUACAGCAAGUUAGGAAAGAGAUCUGCUGAUGAACACAAAAAGCUAGAUCCAGCCGCAGCUGAGGGAGAACAAUGUAAGCAACUAGUGGAGAGGACGCACUCUUCUCAAACCACCACAAUGGACUGUGUGCUAAGCCACGAUGAAACCUCUAAAGAACCCAAAAUGCAGAUGUCUACAAGUGACCAUAUUACUGGACCUUAAGGAAAUAAAAUUAAACAAGAAUUACAAACAAACUGGCUCCCCUCCCCCAGUCUAUCCACUUGAAAAACUGUCCACAACCUUCUAAAUACCUUGCGUUAAAGAGAGAAUCCAGACUGAAAGGACACACUCUUUAGAAAUGAACAGCAACGAGAGCAACAUGAGGCAAAUCUAUGUGUGAGGACAAAGGGACAGAGGAAGGGACACAGCCUCCACCACAGGUACUAGGAAAUAUCAACUGUACACGAAGAAGCUGAGCACUUCCCUCCAGUAGCCAGAACAACGACACAAUAAAACCAAAGACAGUGGAAAGAAGAUUCAUGAGGCAGAAACAAUGGUGUUGACCUGAUCAAUGGAGCCAUGGGCUGGUUGUUUGGAAAGACCUGUGACAGUGACAAACCUUGGGCAGUCUGAUUAAGACAAUGGCACCAAACAGUACCAUCAGGAAUGAGAAACUAUAGAAAUAGCUUUGACGUGACAGGAGAACAGAGUAGAUAACCCUGACCAGGACUAGGAUGCAUUUGGAAACACGCAGCAUGGGUUUUGUUUCUUGUUUUGGGUUGCACUAAUGGUUGUUGCCGUGGGGGUCAAGGAGGUCCCAAACCGUCUUUCACACAAGAGCCGUUUCCCACCUGAAGUGUUACUUACAUCCCGGAGGACACACAUUGAUGCAGACUAAAUGAUCAAUGUAGUAGGAAAAUGUUUUCCCUGUAUAGUAAAAGAUACUAUCUUCAGUAUGGAAAAAACAUCAAGAAACCAGUGUUUACAAGUACUAAACCGUAAAAGAAAGGGAAAAGCAAAAACCUAGCCAACAAACACAGAAAAAAUAUAUUCAACUUACUCAUAUGGGGAGAGAAAUACUUAUGUAAAGCACAAAAACAGUCUAGGAGAUUACAUACCAAAUUUUACUAACAACAAGGAAUGAAAGUUGCGAGGCAGGUGAGAAAUGGAAAUUUUCACCACUUCUUGGCUUAUAUGUUCCUAUAAUAAUGUUUUAGUUUUACAAAAGAGAAUGUAUUCUACUCAAACAGAUGUUUAAAAUUUUAAAGAAAUUAUUAAAAUGUUCAAAAUGACUUCAGUUCAAGGACAUGCAUUAAAGCAUGAAUGGAAAGAACCUCCCCAUGACUUUAAUAAGGGUCUCCUAUAACUUUUCUAAUAGUUUACAAUGUUGAUUUUAUUUUACAUUUAGAUUUUGACUUGGGAUUUACGUUUGUGUGAGGGAUGCAUUAAAAGCUGACUUCCCCCGUGCAGGUGGAAAACCAACCAUCCAGGCACCGACCACUGAGCAGUUCCGGCUUUCCCAGCUGCCGAACUGGCUCCUUUCCCACCGGCUGAAAACCUACAGCCACAGAUACCUCUCGAGCACCCUGGAGCGAGCAGAGUAAGCUUUCCAACCUGGGCUCCCUGUCCACAAGGGACAGCUACUGGCAGAGCCUUCUCCUGAUGUGGCAGGGGGCAUGCUGCACACACAAGUGCUCAGGGGCCAUCCGCUGUGGAGCAGGACACCCCUCGCCCCCGGAUGAUGAGCAGGCAGUGGGGGAGCCUGAGGGCCCAGUACUGACCUCAGCUGGGGGACAGCAGCCUGCUCAAGAAGGGGAAGCCCACUCUCCUCAGCUCGUCCAGCUUCUGCAGCAUGUGCACUUGGCUGUCAGGGCACCGCCCCUCUGCCACAUGGUAGAACAGCUCGCCGUUCUUCUUCUCCACCUGCUCCCGCAGGCAGCACCCCCGCUUUUGUUCUGCCAGGAGAAGCAGCAGGUCGAGGAGACCUCAGGCCCCCGACGCUGACAGGAUGACCCCGUUGAGGGACAUGGGGCUGGUGCUCACUCUGCACAGCUUCCACAGCUGGCUUUGGGGUGACAACUGUUGGAGGGGCAGAGAAGCUCUGGGAGGGCUUCUGAGGCACUGCUGUGAAUGAGAACUUGGGGGCUCUGGGCCAAGCCCUUGUCAGGCCCCAGACGGGUGGGCUCCAUGUCUCUCUACAGCCUCCUUCGCUCGACAAGCGCUGUGGGGACAGAUGGCCUCUCUCGAGUGUGCUUGGAGAAGAACCUGUAAGAAAGAAGUGAGCCGAUAAAUCUGCACGCCCCAAUCCUGGGGGCUAAAGUCCCCCACAGAAAUGCCACUCUUACCUAGCAAGCCCCCGGUGGGGGAAGUGAAGUCUCACCACCAGCAUCUACAGCAGACGUGUUUAUUUCUGCCUGGCUACCUGACAUUGUGGCGGCCACACUGUCUCCUAGAGUUCCUUCCAGACAUUGCUGCACCCACUCCUGACCGGCGGCUUCCUGGGAGGCCCUGGGUGCAGUCUCACCCUGCAGAGCGGCUCCCUUCAACCUGCGGGACUCUGGCUUGGCCCUCAGGUUUUCACUCAAGGACGGCAAUGAACUGGCAGCGACUUUCCCGUCUGCUUCACUCCCAUGGUCUCUCAGGGCCCCCAUGGGGAAAUGUUCACUACAGAGGAAAGAAUACUUAGUGGGGGUCCAGUUAUCCCUGUGAACAGCUUUUAACCACCGGAUCAGGUGUUUUCAGUCCUUUACGGGGAGCCUGCAGGAUAAAUGACAAAGUAGUUAGAACAAAAGAAUUAAAGGAUCAACUAUAAAAGCAAAACAAGUGUUUUUGCGAACACCUACACCUGUAGCAACUUUCUCCAUUUAAAUAUUUAGUACAGAUUUAAGGAACACCUUAACUUGCAAGUUAUUACUGGAACAGAAAGAUGAAAGACCCCCUGUCUACCUCAAGGAGCUUACAGUCUGUAGCGCAGAGGAAGGAAGGAAGGUGGGGAACUCCUCCCAGGCUGUGGUAAACGCCCUGAGGGGUACAGAUGCUCAGGCACAUAGCACAGGAUGGCAUCAAGACAACAGGAAAGGUUCCAGGAAGCCGCAGGAAUAGUUCCUAGAAGCUCACGGCUGACCAAUCCUCCUGCUGUGCCUGGGAUGCAGGGCAGGACUUUGGGUGCUAAAAUGGGGAGGGUUGGGCCCCUACUGCGAAGCCAGGCCAGAUGUCAGCCAGCAGAGCAUCCCAGACAGUCAGCAGGGUGCUGGCCCCAGCUGUGGCUCACACAGCUGAGGAUGCAAGACCACCUCCAAGACGAAGUGAGACUCAGAAGCUGUUCUGUGUUUCUGCACUACCAGGAGGAAAGCUGCUCGCUUUAAAAAAAGCAACUGGCCCGGAGAAGAUACUGACCAAGAUACUUAAUGAUCCCUUCUUCUCAUUAAGGUAAAAUCUCUACAUACACCCAACUGUGCUCGCGGGGAGGGUGCGGCGGACUCCCCGAGGGCUUUCUGCUCCACCGGAGGGCACCUAGCACCUUGAGGCUGCUGUGGACCAGGCCCAGGGUGGAUCCUACCUCUUCAGGAAGUUCUAAGCAAUGUGAUUUCCAAACUCAAAAUGCUGUGAACACGUUACCCAAAGAGCCAAGCCCACUAACACACACAGCGCGUUGGCCAUGAUGCAUACCAAGAGCAGCUUUCUUGGCAGCGCUGUACCUCAUUCUCAAAAGCAGUAACAAAACUUUGGGGACACAGGCUCUGAAGGGAACUGUCAAGAAAGCUCGGUGGCUGACGCCUGGAAUAAGCUCAUAUUACUAGCUCCUCGAGAGCUUAAGCAACUUAAGACUUAGAACAAAUCCCUGUAAACUUCCCAUAAGAGUACGGGUAACAAGCGCCAUUCAGGACUUUCACUGCGAUCACAGCCUGCAGCACGAAGGAGAAGGACCUGCCAGCAGUCUCUUCCGUUCACCGUUCUGGGGCGUCCAGGAGGCGGGCAAGGCCGCCGAGAAGGACUCGCUCAAACAGCUCAAUUCCAGGAGCCCUCACGAAGGGAGCCAGGCCGCGGGGAAGACACAGCCCUCAUGCGGGGCGGGAGCCCCCCGAAGAAGCGGCCAGGGAGCCCCGUCCCGCAGCCCGCGGGGGCGGCCCCGGGAGGAGGGCGCCCGCUCCCCCCGGGACCUCUCACACGCGGCACCGGGACUCACCUGCGGGCGCAGAGCCGCCUUUUCCCGGACUGCCGGGACCCCUCUACAAAGAGCGCCUGUGGGGCGAGGCCAUCCAGGAGGAAGAAGCUGCAUUCGCUCAGCCUCACCGCUGAUGCCAGAGCUCGAGGCAGGCUCCCCGCCAUCAAAAGAACCAAAACGUCACAGCAAGUGAAACGCAAGAGGCCAACUGAGGCAGGGAAGAGCGUCCCCAGAAUGACCUGUUCCUGGACGUCGUCGGCCCCAACCCGACCCAACGCAGAGCUGGGGCCGCGGGUCGGGGGUGAGAAGGCGGGGCGGGUCGUAAGCCGGGGCCGGCGGCCGGGCGUUGCCGCGGUGGCCCGAGGCGCCCGCCCCAGAGCCGGCGGCGCGGGACCCUGCCCCUCCCGCCGGGCGCCGGCUGUGCCGCUGGAGCGGCCGCGAGGCCCCAAGCGGGGGCUGACCGGGCGGCGGUUACCCGUGGCAGAACACGGCGGCUCCUCCGCGCGGCCCGGCCGUUGGGAGCGGUUCGCGGCCGCCCUAGAGUAGGGCUCGCGGCGACACGGCUACAGGACGCGGGAGCCGAUCCCUCUGUCCUCAGCGCGCCCGGCGUCGCGCAGCAAGGAGCGCCGAGCCCGGCCGCACGGCAAGAUGGCCGCGCCCGCGGGCCGGGCACAAGGCGGGCUGACGCGCCCUGUCCCGAGUCCGGGCGCCCAACCGCGUCUGCUUCCGCUGCCCAGACAGGUCGCUGCCGCCGUCCUCGGAGGGAACGACGCAGGACGGGUAGCCGACACCAGUCCCGGCCCUCCGCGCUGGGCCCCACCGUGCGCCAAGAGGGCGGCCGACGCACUUCUGCUCGCACUUCCGGCCCCGCCCAGCGUUUGCUCGAUAUCACUUAGGAAACAGAGAUUCAGCAAGAAAUGAUUGAGAACUUCAAGAUGGAACUGCAGAACGAAGCCCUGAGCAUGAGGCCUUCUGAGCAUAAGGCCCAUCACACACCCUGGAUGCCAGCUGUGCCUGGAGUGUUCAAAGAUGUGAAGUUGCCAGUUCCACCUUGUGGUGCCGUUGCCAAGCUCUGAACUAAUGGUCAUGUCAACUUGGAACUUGAGGUUCAACAAAAAUUUCAGAUUCCACACACGUCCUCUGGCCCCACACCAGUGUUCUCACUCAGAGUCAGGGACACAGGCUGACGGGGCUCCCACCAUCAGGAAAUUCGCCAGUCCCAUGGCAGGGGAGGGAACUCGGCAAAUGACAUGUGACACCUCUCCUCACAUUUCUUUGGACAAAGCAAGUCACGUGACCAUGCCCGACUUCAGGGGACUGGGAAGUACAGCCCUGCCACGUCCCAGGAGGAGAACCAGAGUAUCCGCGAAAGCCCUAAUGACACCCAGCUGUGGCUCCUUCGGUCCCCAGGCCCCGGACACAGGCUGUUGGAUGGACCAGCCUUUCUGAAAGAUCCCAUCCCUGCUCAAGGACAAUGAGUGCAUCCAGUCCACACAGACUGUCACCCCCAACGACGAAGACAGUGACAUCAAGAAAAUUAAGAAGGUCUGCACCAUUCCUCUGGGCUGGCACAACUGUCUCAGCCUCUUGAGAGGGCCUGCUGGCACGUCCCAGUGUCAGGAGUGUCCACCUACUGUUCCACAGCCCCCAGGGCAUGCCAUCCCCUCCCCCACAAAACUCAGCUCUAAAGACAGAACCCACGGCUCCUUACCCCUGAACAGUACCUUGUCAGGCCAUUUCUCUGCUUGUCCCUGUGAAGUGGGGGAGGCUCAGCCCCAUUGUAUAGAUGAGAAAACUGAGGCUCCACGAGAGGAAGGAGCAGAUAGAAGCAGGACAGGAGCCCAGGCCAUGAGACUCGCAGCUGAGAGCUCUCCUCACUGCACUGGGCAGCCUGAGUAAGACCCCUGAGGCCACCUCUCCACCGUCAAUCCCUUGCAUGCCCCCCCCACAGAGGGUGUCAUGCAAACACUUCCUCUCACAACUGCCCCCUUUAGUCCCCAGCAGCCCUCAGCACGGAAACCCAGCCUUAUACGACCCCAUAGUUGGCCCCACUGGUUUUGCCCUGUUAGAGUCCAGAAGGGGCAGAUGUCUCAGAAGGUCGUGCCCAGCACCAUGGGCCACCCCGUGGGGGUGUGGAGGGAGAGAACAUGAUUUGUGUUGCAGCUUGCCAGACUCGAAUCAGGGGAGCCUGACUCAUUCCCAAGAAAACCAGGGAAAAUCAGAGAAUCCUGCUUGUUGAGAGGGCAGGAGGAGCCCAGUGCCAUCCAGACCAGAAGCUGCAGACUGGCACCCACAGGCAAGUUCAGCCUACCUGUGUGUUCGGGGUUUUUAGUCCACACAGUGUUUUUUCUUUUUAUUUUUUUCUUUUUAAUUUGUUGCCAGUGCUUUAAAAGCUAAAUAUUCCACAUAAAAAUCUGGGUGUCUGGUUUCUCAGAAAUAGUUAACAUCCAUUAAGCACUUUCUAUGUGCCAGACACUAUUCUAGAGCUUUAUGCAGAUUAACUCAUUCCUAACUAAAAACUCCCUGAGGUUUCAUUGUUAUCUGCAUUUUACAUAUGGGGAAGCUGAGGCGCAGAGAGGCAAAGUGACUUUCCUAGGUCACACAGCUGAGUAUUUGCAGAGUGACAUUUAAAUCCUUAAGAAUUUUAAAAGAAUGAGAAUCAGCUUUCCCUUGUUACACUUAGUUUUAUCUUGCUUGUAGAUACAACCUGUGUGUUGUAACUGGGUUGAGGUUAAUACUGACAGAGUUUUCUUUCCCUCUAGGCUAACGAUAUCUUUCUUUUUUCAACUAUGAUUUUCCCUGAAGGUACACUGUAAGAAGAUAGAAAAUAUAUUUACCUACAGUGUUUUUUUAUUUUUUAUUUAUUUUCUUUGAGGAAGAUUAGCCCUGACCUAACAUCUGCCACCAGUCCUCCUCUUUUUGCUUUCCUUUCUUUCUUUCUUUCUUUUGUUUGUUUUUGCUGUGGAAGAUUGGCCCUGAGCUAACAUCCAUGCCCAUCUUCCUCUACUCUAUAUGUGGGACGCCUGCCACAGCAUGGCUUGAUAAGCGGUGCAUAGGUCUGCACCCGGGAUCUGAACUGGCAAAUCCUGGGCUGCUGAUGCAGAGUGUUGUGAACUUAACCACUGCACCACCAGUCCAGCCCCUAUUUACUUACAAUUUUAAUUUAAGCAGAGUAGUCUUCAUCAGAGAGUCUUCAGGUCAUGGUUUUAUGAGUGGUGAACUUAUCGUUACUUGUGAUUUCUCUUUUCCCAAACCUCUUUCUCAGCCAUGAGUUUGACCAUUAUCUUAUAUACUCCAGGUAAUUAACAGAGAGGAGGGAAGCUCAUAGAUCUAGUAAUAGACUGAGAAGGACCAGCAAAGCUGCCCCAAACCUUUCCUUCACCUGAAAACACUUGGGCUUCUGCUUUUAGUAUAUCAGUUUCUUCUAUUUAAUUCUUCUAGUAUAAUUUUAUAUUCUAAUGGAGAGGGAAAAAUAUGUAAUUGUGGAUUCUUCUAGUAGUGUGCUUCUCAUUUUUUAUUGUGUUUGAAAUUUCCUAAUAUCACAAGUAGUGAUAGCUCCUACCUUUGAAAAUUUCAUCAAUAUUCACUACUGUGUAGGAGAUGAAUUUCUCUGUUCCUAUGAAAAGUAUAAUGCAAAGAAGAAAUGGCCAUAAAUGUUCUUUCCUCUCACUGUGACAUUAUUCAGACAGUUGGUGAGCUAUACUUUUCAAAUUACCUGAUGUAGCCAAUUCAUAAUACUUGUAGCUUCUCCUUCCAGGAAUCAAGGACAAAUAAUUUUCUAUAGAAAAUCAAUUAAUUGUUAAAAUUUUAAUGAAAUUAAAAUUAAAUUUAAAUUUAAUUGAAAUUAAAGUGAAUUAUUUAAAUGACAGUUUAACUGAUAUAAGAAUCAUUCUUUGUUUAUUAUUAUUGUUUCU